GACGCGGAAGUGACGGUACCUGCAGAAGAAGCUCUUGCCAACUACGUGCCAGCAGCCGCGGUAAUACGUAGGGUGCAAGCGUUGUCCGGAAUUAUUGGGCGUAAAGAGCUCGUAGGCGGUUUGUUGCGUCGGCUGUGAAAUCCCGAGGCUCAACCUCGGGUCUGCAGUCGAUACGAGCAAACUAGAGUGUUGCAGGGGAGACUGGAAUUCCUGGUGUAGCGGUGAAAUGCGCAGAUAUCAGGAGGAACACCGGUGGCGAAGGCGGGUCUCUGGGCAACAACUGACGCUGAGGAGCGAAAGCGUGGGGAGCGAACAGGAUUAGAUACCCUGGUAGUCCACGCCGUAAACGUUGGGCGCUAGGUGUGGGGCUCAUUCCACGAGUUCCGUGCCGCAGCUAACGCAUUAAGCGCCCCGCCUGGGGAGUACGGCCGCAAGGCUAAAACUCAAAUGAAUUGACGGGG
Molecule: ribosomal RNA, 461 nt
Filed under: Blastococcus colisei
Lineage: Bacteria; Bacillati; Actinomycetota; Actinomycetes; Geodermatophilales; Geodermatophilaceae
Description: bacterial SSU rRNA
Rfam family: Bacterial small subunit ribosomal RNA
Source: RNAcentral